This 301-nucleotide ribosomal RNA is filed under the name uncultured bacterium. RNAcentral describes it as "partial 16S ribosomal RNA". It matches the Rfam family "Bacterial small subunit ribosomal RNA", at positions 509 to 807 of the family's 1533-position model. The record is from RNAcentral.
CAGCAGCCGCGGUAAUACGUAGGUGGCAAGCGUUGUCCGGAAUUAUUGGGCGUAAAGGGCUCGCAGGCGGUUUCUUAAGUCUGAUGUGAAAGCCCCCGGCUCAACCGGGGAGGGUCAUUGGAAACUGGGAAACUCGAGUGCAGAAGAGGAGAGUGGAAUUCCACGUGUAGCGGUGAAAUGCGUAGAGAUGUGGAGGAACACCAGUGGCGAAGGCGACUCUCUGGUCUGUAACUGACGCUGAGGAGCGAAAGCGUGGGGAGCGAACAGGAUUAGAUACCCCCGUAGUCCCUGUCUCUUAUAC